This is a long non-coding RNA of Panicum virgatum (switchgrass), 556 nucleotides long. RefSeq lists it as uncharacterized. The record is from RefSeq and is a predicted model, not a curated record. The transcript is spliced from 2 exons. Lineage: Eukaryota; Viridiplantae; Streptophyta; Magnoliopsida; Poales; Poaceae.
AUAAAUCAAUCGGAGCUCCAAAAAUUAUGAAACCAGUUUCAUAAUUCUUCUAAAAUCAUGAUCUACAUGUUAGAGUAGGUUUUGUUAUGAGUUGGAUCUUAUUUGAGUAGUUUUGUGCAUUCUUACACUUUGGCCCCUAUAGUAAUUCGUAAUUACGAAUAGGUCCUGCUAUUGAAAUUAGAUCGACGCCCCGGACGCCCAGAAGACCCAGGAGGACGUCCCGGACUACGAGAAGACCCCGAGGACCUCGGAAGACUACGAAGAGCUGCUAGUUUGGCAAGAUGCAGGGUCCGAUUAGGAGUUCGAUGCCAACAACAACGGAUGGUACGAUUGAAGCUUAGAAGCCUGUGCUACGCUCAAGUGCUGCCUAUGAAGAUGAAGUUCGAGUUGAAGGAUGGCUUGAAGACCAGCUACCGCUACCAUUUUCUGUUUGUUCCAGUUUAGCCCAAUGGGCUUGUAAUAAAAGUUUCGUACUGCAAAUCCUCUGGAUAUUGUAAUAAUUAAAUCCAUGUUUGAACCUGUUUUAAGUGAGUAUGAACUGAUUUACUGCCUGAAA